This 735-nucleotide ribosomal RNA is filed under the name uncultured bacterium. RNAcentral describes it as "bacterial SSU rRNA". It matches the Rfam family "Bacterial small subunit ribosomal RNA", at positions 61 to 796 of the family's 1533-position model. The record is from RNAcentral.
GUCAACGAUGCUUAUGUAGCUAUAUGUAAGUGUAGUGGCGCACGGGUGAGUAACACGUAUGCAAUCUGCCUUUUGUCCGGGGAUAACACUUCCAACGAGGUGCUAAUACCCGAUGAUGCAGCGGCACCGCAUGGUGACAGUUGUUAAAGUUUCGACGACAGAAGAGGAGCAUGCGUCUGAUUAGUUAGUUGGUGAGGUAACGGCUCACCAAGGCAGCGAUCAGUAGCUGGUCUGAGAGGAUGAUCAGCCACACUGGGACUGAGACACGGCCCAGACUCCUACGGGAGGCAGCAGUGAGGAAUAUUGCGCAAUGGACGAAAGUCUGACGCAGCAACGCCGCGUGUGGGAUGAAGGCCUUUUAGGUCGUAAACCACUGUAGCAGGGGAAAAACAUCCCAUUAGAUGGGUUUGAUGGUACCCUGAAAGUAAGCCUCGGCUAACUACGUGCCAGCAGCCGCGGUAAUACGUAGGAGGCGAGCGUUGUCCGGAUUUACUGGGUGUAAAGGGUCCGCAGGCGGGCAUCUAAGUCGGUGGUGAAAUCCUUCAGCUUAACUGAGGAACUGCCUCCGAUACUGGGUGUCUUGAAUAUAGGAGAGGGCAAUGGAAUUCCAGGUGUAGCGGUGAAAUGCUUAGAUAUCUGGAAGAACACCGGUUGCGAAGGCUGUUGCCUGGCCUAUUAUUGACGCUCAUGGACGAAAGCGUGGGGAUCAAACAGGAUUAGAUACCCUGGUAGUCC